RNAcentral lists this ribosomal RNA (253 nucleotides) under uncultured bacterium. Its description in RNAcentral is "partial 16S ribosomal RNA". It matches the Rfam family "Bacterial small subunit ribosomal RNA", at positions 524 to 776 of the family's 1533-position model. The record is from RNAcentral.
GACAGAGGGGGCAAGCGUUGCUCGGAAUUACUGGGCGUAAAGGGCGCGUAGGCGGAAUGGCAAGUCGGUCGUGAAAUCCUUCGGCUCAACCGAAGAACGUCGAUCGAAACUGCCGUUCUUGAGGAUUGCAGAGGAGACUGGAAUUCCCGGUGUAGCGGUGAAAUGUGUAGAGAUCGGGAGGAACACCGGUGGCGAAGGCAGGUCUCUGGGCUGACACUGACGCUCAUGCACGAAAGCGUGGGGAGCAAACAGG